Long non-coding RNA from Scophthalmus maximus (turbot), 3162 nucleotides. The record is from Ensembl. Lineage: Eukaryota; Metazoa; Chordata; Actinopteri; Pleuronectiformes; Scophthalmidae.
AUGGGCGCAUUGGCCUCGCCCAGUCCAGUUGUUUUUUGUUUUUUAAGAUCCGAUUAUUCAGACAGCACUCGAAUGCAUCGCAGGCCGGCCAACACGGGACGAAACAAAAGAGCGCGUGGUCAGUUCACGGACAUGCUGCUGUUGUUCCUGACAGUUUCCGGCGUGCUCAUUGAGGCAUCCGCUGAUAUUGAGCAUGAAAGUCUGUGCUAUGGCAGCACUUUCAACUUACCAGUUCGUUUUACGCCCCCUGAUUUCCGUGGACAACUGUACUUCACUCCGAGCAUGGGGGGAUCCAGGAAGCUGCUGAUCAAUGAUGGGGAGGCAAAGGACCCGCGUCUGAACAUCUCCCUUGGCUCAGUUCGUUUGACAGAUUUGACAGAAAGAGACAAUGGAACUUUUUCCAUCUCAUUUGGUGAUGAAAGCACAAACGAUAUCAUCACGCUGACAAUUGAUGAUUGUGCUGAAAAGAUCACAAAAUAUUACGGGGAUAUCUAUGGCAGUACUCUUCCGAAGGGGACAGAAUUUGUGGAGUUCACUCCGCUUCACCUUCGGGACCAACCACAGGUGGUGUGGAAUGGCACCAACCUGCAGAAGAAUGGCAAAAUACGGAUGUUUUUUUCAUACCUGGAGAUCUUCAGAGUCACUCAAGCAGACAACGGCUACUACAACUUCAGGAAAAAGGACAACACUUUGCUGUCGAGGAUACUGCUCAUAGUACAAGAGAACAAUAGACGCUCUGAAGUAUGGGUAAAAGAGCGGCUCUCCAUCCAAUAUCCGAUGUUCGAUGUUAAGUGGACUGUGACUUUUACACCGAAGGGGAAAAUGGAAACUCAAACGUGGAUAGAGGGAAACAGACUGGUCACAGGGGAUCUUUCAGGGAGGAUUUGGUUGGUGCAUAAUGGCAUAGACAUCGAUGUGGAAAGCACAGACUCUGGCACCUUGGAAUUCAGAGACCGACAAGGCAACCUGGCCUUGACUGUGGAGGUGAACGUAAUAGCUGAGGAAACAGAUCCCACAUUUAUAUAUGUUGCUCCUGCUCUUGUGAUCAUCUUUGUGGUGGUUGUUGGCUGCUGCUGCGUGAAGAAGUUCUGUUUCAAAAAGAGGUCUUCAAGUAACGAGCCUGCUCCUCAGACUGCUGCAGCACCCGCUGUGUAUUACCAUUUUCAAGAUACAAAUCCAAGUUAUUCUGCUGCACCCACAACUUCAGCCCUCUUGUCUCAGCCAAUGACGCCCCCUGUGUCUUCAGAACACUCGAAUGGGCCAUCGGUUGCUGCUCCCACCCUCUCAGUCGGCUCUGAGCCCCAGUCCUCGGACCCCGAGCCAACAUUUGAUCUGAAAGGAGUGACCUUUCCCGCCGCUCCCCUCCUCAGCUCAGACUCGACUCUCUGUGACACGUAUACCUCAGAUAAACUUGACUUUCUGUAAGGAGCACACUGAAAGUUCAAGUGUCAUUGGGUUGACUCUCGCAAUGUGUUCUGCAAAUAACUUGAACACCGAGUAGUAGAGAUGAUGACUGAAAGUGUCGUAGUCAAGACCAAAACACCACAUUUACCAAAUUGAGCCAUAUCGUAUACUAUUUACAUGGUUAUUCCAAUUUUAUUUGUGUGUCUUAAAGUGUAUCAUUAUUUUUUGAGAAUUAUGCAAGAUAAUUUUUUUUUGUUACUUUUUAUUUAAAAAAAAUAUAAAGAUCCUACAAGUGUUUGUCUUCAUUAUAAGUAAAGACGUGUGACCUUACUGUGAGUUUAAUGUUUUAGGAAAAUACAUUUUAUCCUGAUUUUUGAAAGCUGGGUUGAUUCGCCCGUGUUACAAUUCACAGAGAAAAAUUGUAGCAGGUUGGAAAAUAGAAUUGAAACAGUAAUUGAUUAAGAUCUGAGUUUAAUAAGUAUAUAUCUGUCAGUUAGUUUCCAGCACGGGGGUCAGCUGUAUGUCAGGUGGUAGAAAAUGUGGCACGGCUGGUUCUCCCAUUCUAAGCUCUUCCCAUCCGCCUUUUGUUCAAGAAAAAGACUCUUAAUGCAUGUGCACGAGACCACACAUAUGUUUCAAGUAAAUGUAUGGAUAUUAAUACAUUACAUUUUUUCUAAAACACAGCAGCACAAUCCUAGCCUAGUAAAUGUCCACCCGUUUCAAACGUCUCAAAUUCAUGACCAGGGUUUUCUCCAGAAUGUGUCAGGUCCAUAGACUAUAUAAAAGAAAAUAAACUGUACAAAUGGAGUCGUCGUCACCAGGGAAAGUGAAGCCAAUGUGAAACCUGUUUUGUCUGUAAUGACCAGCAGAGGGAGAUUCCACUGUUUGCAAAAAGAAUCAGUUUCUUUAAAAGUAUGUGAGAAAAGGACUCAAUCGAUGUACAACGUCAGUAAACACCUUCCUGAGUAGUUUAUGGUCUCACUCUCCAGUAUCAAGUCUUCUUCAAUACAACAUGAUGUUCAUCAUGGUCCCUUCCUCCAAGUGAAAUAGACAACGAAGCAUGGUAUGCAUUGGGGGCGUGUGAUUGACAGAUAAACUGUCCAGUCCAUGCAAGAUUGCAGGUAAAGGUCAGCGUGCAGUGGACGAGCUCUCAGCCAGGCCUGCCCCCUGCCCCCCUCCCUAAAUGUGGUUACGUCUGACCCCCCCCAUCCCUUCCCCCUUGGGAGGGAUGGCUUUGUACCACAUGCCUCCGUCUCUAAGGACGAAGUCAAAUGUUAUGAAAUACACAUGUACUCAUUGUCUGGGGAAAUUCAGCCACACGUUCCUUCAAUAUUUCAAAGAGCAAAGGGGUUAGACCCAAAACCAGCAUUCCGGAAGCUACGGCGCCAAUAUAGCUGUUUCGUAAAACAAACUUUUUUCCAACUGACUCGUGAUGCGUAAGGAUGUGAAUCGCGGGGCCACGUCUCAUUCGGAUGAACCUCAAACAACCGUCAUGUCCGACAGCCCUCAAACGCAGCCCGGGUCCCUCUACGGACACACCCUGUUGGCUGAGGCCUUGACAACAACCAGCGGACACACGUGAUGCUACACUAACGCAGAGGAAUCUCCCGAGUCAAGAGCGGUGCGUUGUUGUUGAGGUGUCGGUGAAGUGUCGAUGGACUAGCGGCAGAGGGUGUUUUAACUCGGGACUCACGUCGGACGGACACACGAUGAUCGUGCCGCUGCUGCUGCUGCUGCUGAGCGCGUGUGUUAGCACGG